This 397-nucleotide unclassified non-coding RNA is filed under the name uncultured fungus. RNAcentral's name for it is "sequence contains ITS1". The stretch from base 1 to 104 matches the Rfam family "5.8S ribosomal RNA", at positions 50 to 154 of the family's 154-position model. Lineage: Eukaryota; Fungi. The record is from RNAcentral.
GAACCGCGAAAUGUAAUGUGAAUUGCAGAGUUCGUGAAUCAUCAAAUCUUUGAACGCACAUUGCACUGCUUGGAAUUCCAGGCAGUAUGUCUGUUUGAGUAUCUGUUAACCAUCAAUGGAUUCCCUGGGCUUCAUUCAUUCUGUCAAGGGUGUAUGAGUCCUCGAAAUCUGUUGGACAUGGGACUCUUAGUGGCAACACCAAAGUCCUCAAAUAGAUAUCAACUUGUCUCACGACAUGUCUGUAGGUAGACCUCUCGGGGUUUACUUACACCUGCAUCUGAUAUUGAAGAACCAUUCCUCGAUACCGUGAAAGAUGUAGGCUUGACCGAGUACGAAAGCCUAGGCUCAAGUCUCAACUCAUGAUCUCAAAUCAGACAAGACUACCCGCUGAACUUAA